Molecule: ribosomal RNA, 253 nt
Filed under: uncultured bacterium
Lineage: Bacteria
Description: partial 16S ribosomal RNA
Rfam family: Bacterial small subunit ribosomal RNA
Source: RNAcentral
UACGGAGGGUGCGAGCGUUAUUCGGAAUUAUUGGGCGUAAAGAGCGUGUAGGCGGUUGGUCAAGUCAGAUGUGAAAGCCCGGGGCUUAACCUCGGAAGUGCAUUUGAAACUGGUCGACUUGAGUUCGGGAGAGGGAAGUGGAAUUCCGGGUGUAGAGGUGAAAUUCGUAGAUAUCCGGAGGAACACCGGUGGCGAAGGCGACUUCCUGGACCGAAACUGACGCUGAGACGCGAAAGCGUGGGGAGCAAACAGG